Molecule: regulatory RNA element, 132 nt
Rfam family: PyrR binding site
About the family: This family represents the PyrR binding site and terminator structure. This RNA structure is found upstream of a variety of genes involved in pyrimidine biosynthesis and transport. The alignment also includes a portion of the antiterminator structure.
Source: Rfam
AAGUCCUUUAAAAUUAGUCCAGAGAGGCUAAGAAGGUGCGGAUUGAGCAAUGGAAUCAGUGUGUCGGUACUGAUGAAAUUCGUUUACCACUUAGCCUUAAACAGUACGUUUUAGGCUGAGUGGUUUUUUAUU